UACAGAGGUCUCAAGCGUUGUUCGGAUUCAUUGGGCGUAAAGGGUGCGUAGGUGGCGCCGUAAGUCCGCUGUGAAAGUCAAGGGCUCAACCCUUGGAUGCCGGUGGAUACUGCAGGGCUAGAGUCCGGAAGAGGCGAGUGGAAUUCCUGGUGUAGCGGUGAAAUGCGCAGAUAUCAGGAGGAACACCGAUGGCGAAGGCAGCUCGCUGGGACGGUACUGACGCUGAGGCGCGAAAGCGUGGGGAGCAAACAGG
RNAcentral lists this ribosomal RNA (253 nucleotides) under uncultured bacterium. RNAcentral's name for it is "partial 16S ribosomal RNA". It matches the Rfam family "Bacterial small subunit ribosomal RNA", at positions 524 to 776 of the family's 1533-position model. The record is from RNAcentral.